RNAcentral lists this ribosomal RNA (3014 nucleotides) under Salmonella enterica subsp. enterica serovar Kentucky. RNAcentral's name for it is "23S ribosomal RNA". It matches the Rfam family "Bacterial large subunit ribosomal RNA". The record is from RNAcentral. Lineage: Bacteria; Pseudomonadati; Pseudomonadota; Gammaproteobacteria; Enterobacterales; Enterobacteriaceae.
GGGUUGUGAGGUUAAGCGACUAAGCGUACACGGUGGAUGCCCUGGCAGUCAGAGGCGAUGAAGGGCGUGCUAAUCUGCGAUAAGCGCCGGUAAGGUGAUAUGAACCGUUAUAACCGGCGAUACCCGAAUGGGGAAACCCAGUGUGAUUCGUCACACUAUCAUUAACUGAAUCCAUAGGUUAAUGAGGCGAACCGGGGGAACUGAAACAUCUAAGUACCCCGAGGAAAAGAAAUCAACCGAGAUUCCCCCAGUAGCGGCGAGCGAACGGGGAGGAGCCCAGAGCCUGAAUCAGCAUGUGUGUUAGUGGAAGCGUCUGGAAAGGCGCGCGAUACAGGGUGACAGCCCCGUACACAAAAGCGCAUGUGCUGUGAGCUCGAUGAGUAGGGCGGGACACGUGGUAUCCUGUCUGAAUAUGGGGGGACCAUCCUCCAAGGCUAAAUACUCCUGACUGACCGAUAGUGAACCAGUACCGUGAGGGAAAGGCGAAAAGAACCCCGGCGAGGGGAGUGAAAAAGAACCUGAAACCGUGUACGUACAAGCAGUGGGAGCACAGGUUUACCUGUGUGACUGCGUACCUUUUGUAUAAUGGGUCAGCGACUUAUAUUCUGUAGCAAGGUUAACCGAAUAGGGGAGCCGGAGGGAAACCGAGUCUUAAUUGGGCGUUAAGUUGCAGGGUAUAGACCCGAAACCCGGUGAUCUAGCCAUGGGCAGGUUGAAGGUUGGGUAACACUAACUGGAGGACCGAACCGACUAAUGUUGAAAAAUUAGCGGAUGACCUGUGGCUGGGGGUGAAAGGCCAAUCAAACCGGGAGAUAGCUGGUUCUCCCCGAAAGCUAUUUAGGUAGCGCCUCGUGAAUUCAUCUCCGGGGGUAGAGCACUGUUUCGGCUAGGGGGCCAUCCCGGCUUACCAACCCGAUGCAAACUGCGAAUACCGGAGAAUGUUAUCACGGGAGACACACGGCGGGUGCUAACGUCCGUCGUGAAGAGGGAAACAACCCAGACCGCCAGCUAAGGUCCCAAAGUCAUGGUUAAGUGGGAAACGAUGUGGGAAGGCCCAGACAGCCAGGAUGUUGGCUUAGAAGCAGCCAUCAUUUAAAGAAAGCGUAAUAGCUCACUGGUCGAGUCGGCCUGCGCGGAAGAUGUAACGGGGCUAAACCAUGCACCGAAGCUGCGGCAGCGAACGUAUCACUUAAAGCGAUUCAGCGGGUUACGAUUGACGGAGCGAAGCGACGUCAAAGCGUAUACAAAGUCGAGUCGGUUUAAGGAUACGUUCGUUGGGUAGGGGAGCGUUCUGUAAGCCUGUGAAGGUGGCCUGUGAGGGUUGCUGGAGGUAUCAGAAGUGCGAAUGCUGACAUAAGUAACGAUAAAGCGGGUGAAAAGCCCGCUCGCCGGAAGACCAAGGGUUCCUGUCCAACGUUAAUCGGGGCAGGGUGAGUCGACCCCUAAGGCGAGGCCGAAAGGCGUAGUCGAUGGGAAACGGGUUAAUAUUCCCGUACUUGGUGUUACUGCGAAGGGGGGACGGAGAAGGCUAUGUUGGCCGGGCGACGGUUGUCCCGGUUUAAGCGUGUAGGCUGGUUUUCCAGGCAAAUCCGGAAAAUCAAGGCUGAGGCGUGAUGACGAGGCACUACGGUGCUGAAGCAACAAAUGCCCUGCUUCCAGGAAAAGCCUCUAAGCAUCAGGUAACAUCAAAUCGUACCCCAAACCGACACAGGUGGUCAGGUAGAGAAUACCAAGGCGCUUGAGAGAACUCGGGUGAAGGAACUAGGCAAAAUGGUGCCGUAACUUCGGGAGAAGGCACGCUGACACGUAGGUGAAGUGAUUUACUCAUGGAGCUGAAGUCAGUCGAAGAUACCAGCUGGCUGCAACUGUUUAUUAAAAACACAGCACUGUGCAAACACGAAAGUGGACGUAUACGGUGUGACGCCUGCCCGGUGCCGGAAGGUUAAUUGAUGGGGUCAGCGCAAGCGAAGCUCCUGAUCGAAGCCCCGGUAAACGGCGGCCGUAACUAUAACGGUCCUAAGGUAGCGAAAUUCCUUGUCGGGUAAGUUCCGACCUGCACGAAUGGCGUAAUGAUGGCCAGGCUGUCUCCACCCGAGACUCAGUGAAAUUGAACUCGCUGUGAAGAUGCAGUGUACCCGCGGCAAGACGGAAAGACCCCGUGAACCUUUACUAUAGCUUGACACUGAACAUUGAGCCUUGAUGUGUAGGAUAGGUGGGAGGCUUUGAAGUGUGGACGCCAGUCUGCAUGGAGCCGACCUUGAAAUACCACCCUUUAAUGUUUGAUGUUCUAACGUGGACCCGUAAUCCGGGUUGCGGACAGUGUCUGGUGGGUAGUUUGACUGGGGCGGUCUCCUCCUAAAGAGUAACGGAGGAGCACGAAGGUUGGCUAAUCCUGGUCGGACAUCAGGAGGUUAGUGCAAUGGCAUAAGCCAGCUUGACUGCGAGCGUGACGGCGCGAGCAGGUGCGAAAGCAGGUCAUAGUGAUCCGGUGGUUCUGAAUGGAAGGGCCAUCGCUCAACGGAUAAAAGGUACUCCGGGGAUAACAGGCUGAUACCGCCCAAGAGUUCAUAUCGACGGCGGUGUUUGGCACCUCGAUGUCGGCUCAUCACAUCCUGGGGCUGAAGUAGGUCCCAAGGGUAUGGCUGUUCGCCAUUUAAAGUGGUACGCGAGCUGGGUUUAGAACGUCGUGAGACAGUUCGGUCCCUAUCUGCCGUGGGCGCUGGAGAACUGAGGGGGGCUGCUCCUAGUACGAGAGGACCGGAGUGGACGCAUCACUGGUGUUCGGGUUGUCAUGCCAAUGGCACUGCCCGGUAGCUAAAUGCGGAAGAGAUAAGUGCUGAAAGCAUCUAAGCACGAAACUUGCCCCGAGAUGAGUUCUCCCUGAGACUUAGAGUCUCCUGAAGGAACGUUGAAGACGACGACGUUGAUAGGCCGGGUGUGUAAGCGCAGCGAUGCGUUGAGCUAACCGGUACUAAUGAACCGUGAGGCUUAACCUUACAACGCCGAAGGUGUUU